RNAcentral lists this ribosomal RNA (1521 nucleotides) under metagenome. RNAcentral's name for it is "bacterial SSU rRNA". It matches the Rfam family "Bacterial small subunit ribosomal RNA". The record is from RNAcentral.
AGAGUUUGAUCAUGGCUCAGAUUGAACGCUGGCGGCAGGCCUAACACAUGCAAGUCGAACGGUAACAGGAAGAAGCUUGCUUCUUUGCUGACGAGUGGCGGACGGGUGAGUAAUGUCUGGGAAACUGCCUGAUGGAGGGGGAUAACUACUGGAAACGGUAGCUAAUACCGCAUAACGUCGCAAGACCAAAGAGGGGGACCUUCGGGCCUCUUGCCAUCGGAUGUGCCCAGAUGGGAUUAGCUAGUAGGUGGGGUAACGGCUCACCUAGGCGACGAUCCCUAGCUGGUCUGAGAGGAUGACCAGCCACACUGGAACUGAGACACGGUCCAGACUCCUACGGGAGGCAGCAGUGGGGAAUAUUGCACAAUGGGCGUAAGCCUGAUGCAGCCAUGCCGCGUGUAUGAAGAAGGCCUUCGGGUUGUAAAGUACUUUCAGCGGGGAGGAAGGGAGUAAAGUUAAUACCUUUGCUCAUUGACGUUACCCGCAGAAGAAGCACCGGCUAACUCCGUGCCAGCAGCCGCGGUAAUACGGAGGGUGCAAGCGUUAAUCGGAAUUACUGGGCGUAAAGCGCACGCAGGCGGUUUGUUAAGUCAGAUGUGAAAUCCCCGGGCUCAACCUGGGAACUGCAUCUGAUACUGGCAAGCUUGAGUCUCGUAGAGGGGGGUAGAAUUCCAGGUGUAGCGGUGAAAUGCGUAGAGAUCUGGAGGAAUACCGGUGGCGAAGGCGGCCCCCUGGACGAAGACUGACGCUCAGGUGCGAAAGCGUGGGGAGCAAACAGGAUUAGGUACCCUGGUAGUCCACGCCGUAAACGAUGUCGACUUGGAGGUUGUGCCCUUGAGGCGUGGCUUCCGGAGCUAACGCGUUAAGUCGACCGCCUGGGGAGUACGGCCGCAAGGUUAAAACUCAAAUGAAUUGACGGGGGCCCGCACAAGCGGUGGAGCAUGUGGUUUAAUUCGAUGCAACGCGAAGAACCUUACCUGGUCUUGACAUCCACGGAAGUUUUCAGAGAUGAGAAUGUGCCUUCGGGAACCGUGAGACAGGUGCUGCAUGGCUGUCGUCAGCUCGUGUUGUGAAAUGUUGGGUUAAGUCCCGCAACGAGCGCAACCCUUAUCCUUUGUUGCCAGCGGUCCGGCCGGGAACUCAAAGGAGACUGCCAGUGAUAAACUGGAGGAAGGUGGGGAUGACGUCAAGUCAUCAUGGCCCUUACGACCAGGGCUACACACGUGCUACAAUGGCGCAUACAAAGAGAAGCGACCUCGCGAGAGCAAGCGGACCUCAUAAAGUGCGUCGUAGUCCGGAUUGGAGUCUGCAACUCGACUCCAUGAAGUCGGAAUCGCUAGUAAUCGUGGAUCAGAAUGCCACGGUGAAUACGUUCCCGGGCCUUGUACACACCGCCCGUCACACCAUGGGAGUGGGUUGCAAAAGAAGUAGGUAGCUUAACCUUCGGGAGGGCGCUUACCACUUUGUGAUUCAUGACUGGGGUGAAGUCGUAACAAGGUAACCGUAGGGGACCUGCGGUUG